GUGUGUACGAUCCGCCAGACUGCAGUACUGAGAUCGUCAACCAUGGUGUACUGGUGGUGGGCUAUGGGACAGACCAAGGACAAGAUUACUGGAUUGUGAAAAACAGCUGGGGUUCUAGAUGGGGAGAGCAAGGGUAUAUCCGCAUGGCCAGGAACAAGAAUCUCUGUGCGAUAGCGCGCCGUCCCAUCUACCCUAUAGUUGGUAACUGAUCGGGGUCCCCUUGUGGUCGUUCCAGCAUCCAACAGCCUCACAAAGAAAUGUUAUGCUGAAUACAAUAAAUGGUUUUGAAUGUU
Gadus morhua (Atlantic cod) is the source of this 293-nucleotide long non-coding RNA. RefSeq lists it as uncharacterized. The record is from RefSeq and is a predicted model, not a curated record. Lineage: Eukaryota; Metazoa; Chordata; Actinopteri; Gadiformes; Gadidae. The transcript is spliced from 2 exons.